This 460-nucleotide ribosomal RNA is filed under the name uncultured bacterium. RNAcentral describes it as "partial 16S ribosomal RNA". It matches the Rfam family "Bacterial small subunit ribosomal RNA", at positions 338 to 795 of the family's 1533-position model. The record is from RNAcentral.
CCUACGGGCGGCAGCAGUGAGGAAUAUUGGUCAAUGGACGAAAGUCUGAACCAGCCAAGUAGCGUGAAGGAUGAAUGCCCUAUGGGUUGUAAACUUCUUUUAUAUGGGAAUAAAAUGUUCCACGUGUGGGAUUUUGUAUGUACCCUGUGAAUAAGGAUCGGCUAACUCCGUGCCAGCAGCCGCGGUAAUACGGGGGUUCCGGGCGUUAUCCGGAUUUAUUGGGUUUAAAGGGGGCGUCGGUGGAUUUUUAAGUCAGUUGUGAAAGUUUGCGGCUCAACCCUAAAAUUGCAGUUGAAACUGGAAGCCUUGAGUACAGUAGAGGUGGGCGGAAUUCGUGGUGUAGCGGUGAAAUGCUUAGAUAUCACGCAGAACUCCGAUUGCGAAGGCAGCUCACUGGACUGCAACUGACACUGAGGCACGAAAGUGUGGGUAUCAAACAGGAUUAGAUACCCUAGUAGUC